UGAUCUCCAGCUUGCUGGGGGGAUUAGUGGCGAACGGGUGAGUAACACGUGAGUAACCUGCCCUUGACUCUGGGAUAAGCCUGGGAAACUGGGUCUAAUACUGGAUACGACCUUCCCACGCAUGUGGUGUUGGUGGAAAGCUUUUGUGGUUUUGGAUGGACUCGCGGCCUAUCAGCUUGUUGGUGGGGUAAUGGCCUACCAAGGCGACGACGGGUAGCCGGCCUGAGAGGGUGGACGGCCACACUGGGACUGAGACACGGCCCAGACUCCUACGGGAGGCAGCAGUGGGGAAUAUUGCACAAUGGGCGCAAGCCUGAUGCAGCGACGCCGCGUGAGGGAUGAAGGCCUUCGGGUUGUAAACCUCUUUCAGUAGGGAAGAAGCGAAAGUGACGGUACCUGCAGAAGAAGCGCCGGCUAACUACGUGCCAGCAGCCGCGGUAAUACGUAGGGCGCAAGCGUUAUCCGGAAUUAUUGGGCGUAAAGAGCUCGUAGGCGGUUUGUCGCGUCUGCCGUGAAAGUCCGGGGCUUAACUCCGGAUCUGCGGUGGGUACGGGCAGACUUGAGUGAUGUAGGGGAGACUGGAAUUCCUGGUGUAGCGGUGAAAUGCGCAGAUAUCAGGAGGAACACCGAUGGCGAAGGCAGGUCUCUGGGCAUUAACUGACGCUGAGGAGCGAAAGCAUGGGGAGCGAACAGGAUUAGAUACCCUGGUAGUCCAUGCCGUAAACGUUGGGCACUAGGUGUGGGGGACAUUCCACGUUUU
This 760-nucleotide ribosomal RNA is filed under the name bacterium. RNAcentral's name for it is "bacterial SSU rRNA". It matches the Rfam family "Bacterial small subunit ribosomal RNA", at positions 70 to 840 of the family's 1533-position model. The record is from RNAcentral.